AAAAACCAAGGUUUUUCCUGCACAGAGAGGGAUAUUUACAUUCUCCCCGGGGUGAUCUCUGAAACGUUGAUUAUUGCCGGUGAUAAGUGAACCGAGGGGAGAAGAACGCCAAAGAUGAGAAAAUGCUUACAAAGUGAGAUUGCAAAAUAUUUCCAAGGUCCCAGAGCCAGGAUUUAAGCCCAGACAGUGGGUUCGAGAGUCUGGACCCUGGACGACUCUUACACCUCAAUGUGAAUAGUGAGUGAUGGACAGAUGGAAGUACAGUUUAGAAAAGGCUGAUGGUGACCAGCUGUUCACCAGCUCUGCUGAGCAAACUGAGCCAAGCUCUAAUGUGAAGACUUCAGGUUAGUAAUAGGAAAAGUUCACCUGUGGUGAGGUUAGAAAGGGAAAAAAAGUACGCUAACAAAGGAACAGAAACUAGAAUGCCAUCUUUGGAUAUGUUUUAAAAUAGGUUGAGUCUUAUCUUUUUAGGAAAGCUUAAUGCUAUCCUGCUGAAAGCCAAGAAGAUACAAGAUGAGCUCAAAGCCCCUUUGAGCUUAUAAUUAAAGAAUUUUGUGAUGCUUUGCUUUCAAUUAAAGAUAUCCAUCUUUCUCCUUUUAAUAGGCGAGGGGUAGCUGCUUCCAUUGCUUUUCUUUGGUUAAGUAAGGAAAUCAUUACCUAUAGAGACACUAAUGAAAGGAAAUACUUAGGCCAAUUCUCCCCCCUGCCUAAAUAUCCUAAGUCCUGCACUCAUUAUAUUCACCCUGUGACUUUAGAAGGCCUUAUCCUGUUUGCAAAGUCUUGGAUUUCCAACAGAAACAGAACUUGCCUGAAAGGAUUAAAGUUUCCAUGGGGAAUAGAGGUUUUCUGCCUCUUUAGGGUUCUGCAAGCCCUACUGCCCUUCUGGAGAAUUAACUCCAGGGUGUUUUAGGAACCCAAGUGUGAUCCAAACUAACUGUACAUCUCUGAUGGCCCCAAAAUCUGCUUAGGGGCGUAGAGUCUCCUGCCUGUGAUACUGUGAAAAUGGCCCAUCUGAAGGGCAGAAGCCAUUCUUGAUCACCUCUGUUUUACAGAGCGGACAAGAAUCUGCAGACGUUUUACAUCAAAGUUAAGCAGAGUCCAAAACAAUCUAAAAAAGUUUUGGGUUGAUGCUAAAAUCAAGGCCUGGAGGGGAUAGCGGGGUGGGAUCUGGACUUACAAAAGCUUCCCUAGGAAUUUCGGCUCUUGGCAUGCACACCUACUCUCAAGGGAGAAGAGUUAAUGUUGUCAGGCACACCACAGAAAGAAGGGUGCCUCAGAGAAGGAUUUAAGGAGGGACGGCAAUUCCACUGCUACUCACCAGAAGCCAGUAUGACUUUAAAAUAUUGAUGAUGUUAUUUGCUGAAAGUACCGGAUUUUAAAUGCCAGAAUAGAAGAUUGGGUUUUCCAGUUGCAUACUCAGCAAAUGAGCAGAAACAGCACACGUGUCCCCGUUUAAUUUGUAAAGGACCUUAAGUCUUUCUGAAGACUAUCAAUUAAUGUGUCUGUAGCCAUAAACAUACCUAUGAACCAUGUUUUACAUUUAUGUAACACUGCUCAAGAAGUUUAUGCACUUAUUAGUCUUUGCAUAGCUUCAAGGAGCAGAUAAUAUUGAGUAUUAGAAAUAAAUUUUAUUUCUGCUGAAAUC
Molecule: long non-coding RNA, 1645 nt
Filed under: Homo sapiens (human)
Lineage: Eukaryota; Metazoa; Chordata; Mammalia; Primates; Hominidae
Description: HSALNT0186935
Source: RNAcentral